RNAcentral lists this ribosomal RNA (221 nucleotides) under uncultured bacterium. Its description in RNAcentral is "partial 16S ribosomal RNA". It matches the Rfam family "Bacterial small subunit ribosomal RNA", at positions 125 to 334 of the family's 1533-position model. The record is from RNAcentral.
UCUACCCGGCGGCGGGGGAUAACUCAGGGAAACCUGAGCCAAUACCGCAUACAGCACUGGCUUGGAAGCUGGAUGUGAAAGCUGGCCUCUCGAAGAAGCUGGCACCGUCGGAUGAGCUCGCGGCCUAUCAGCUAGUUGGUGGGGUAACGGCCUACCAAGGCGAUGACGGGUAGCUGGCGUGAGAGCGUGGCCAGCCACACUGGGACUGAGACACGGCCCAG